GAGGAAUUGGAGGAGGAUGGGGUCAGGGGUCAUGUUCGACGUAGGUUCCGCCGGAGGUAGGAAGCGGCAUGCGCGCCUUCGCGGGGAAGGGAGGGAUCGGGGAGGGAUGGCUGCCGCUGGUGCUCGAUCGGCGUGAGGGUGACGGAGAUGGUCUUCGGCGUUGUGUUCACCCUCUAGAUGGCCAUCCGGUUCCCCCUACAGUUCGAUGAGGUUUGGCCGUCAAUGCCAACUGAUGCAGGUUCCAGUCGCUGGGUGUUUUGACUUUGCGUGCAUGGUCUUAUUUAGUCCAUGAGCGCAACGCUGCAACAUCAGGUGACGAGCAGGACCUUCUUCAAGGAGUCACCGCUGCCUCUGUCUCGCCCCUCCCCCUGAACUCGACCACACAUGUCCUCUCUCGCGACCACCUACGAUUCGGUUCUUCCUCUUGUGGUGGUGCUUCGGCUGCAGCGACAUUGGCUGAAACAGCCACCCAGGGUUCAGUUCUUGCUCUGUCGACUGGCGGUGGUCCUUCUUGUGGUGGCAGAGGUGGCUGGAAAGCGGACGCUGCCAAGGCGGUGGCUCCUUGCGCCCAAGUAAAAGUAUCGCUCUCACUUUAAUUUUGGGGACUCACUGGUCGACGUCGGCAACCUGAUAACCAGCGGCCUCUCAGACAUCCUCGUCUCCAGGAGGCUGCCCUAUGAUCAGACCUAAUUCAGCAAGAAUUUGGCCACUAUCCCACAUAAGGAUGCAAGUAGUCUUUAACCGGCUGUUGGUAGUUGUCGAAUUUGGUGGCAACAACUACAACUGCAGUGUGCCCUUGUUUGCAGAGAAGAGCCUUACAGAGGCCUGAAUUUAAUGCCGGAUGUCACCGAUGGUGCUGAGGUAUUGAUUGCCGAUGGGGCAGUUGAUCUUAUAACAUAGCUUUGAGUUUGACACCAGGGGAGUGCGCUGCAUCAAGAUUCUGAGAUGUCUUCGAGCCAGGUUGUGCUGGGUUGAACUCCAGAGUAGUGGCAGAGUUUGGAAUAUUUGAUGCCUUCCAAGUCAUUGCGCUAUUCGUUGUUUAACUUUUCUCGGUGUUAUCAACUAGAGUGGUGAUAACGCAUAUCGUGAAAUAGAGAAACUAUGGAGUGGUAUUUAUAGAGAAAGGUAAGUAACAAAUAGACCGGCCGAGAAGUUGUUGUACAGUCAGUUUAUUAAGUGUUCCUCUCGAUGUGUAAAGAGACCACCCACGUAAAAUAAUGGUAUCAGCUGUGACUAAGUGCCACUGGUUAGGCUGUUAGGGCAUGUACAACGGAUGACAUCAGCUGGAGUACAUACGAUCGACUUCUGUAA
Lolium rigidum is the source of this 1311-nucleotide long non-coding RNA. RefSeq lists it as uncharacterized. Lineage: Eukaryota; Viridiplantae; Streptophyta; Magnoliopsida; Poales; Poaceae. The transcript is spliced from 6 exons. The record is from RefSeq and is a predicted model, not a curated record.